Molecule: ribosomal RNA, 497 nt
Filed under: uncultured bacterium
Lineage: Bacteria
Description: partial 16S ribosomal RNA
Rfam family: Bacterial small subunit ribosomal RNA
Source: RNAcentral
GAUGAACGCUGGCGGCGUGCCUAAUACAUGCAAGUCGAGCGAACAGAUGAGGAGCUUGCUCCUCUGACGUUAGCGGCGGACGGGUGAGUAACACGUGGAUAACCUACCUAUAAGACUGGGAUAACUUCGGGAAAGCGGAGCUAAUACCGGAUAAUAUAUUGAACCGCAUGGUUCAAUAGUGAAAGACGGUUUUGCUGUCACUUAUAGAUGGAUCCGCGCCGCAUUAGCUAGUUGGUAAGGUAACGGCUUACCAAGGCAACGAUGCGUAGCCGACCUGAGAGGGUGAUCGGCCACACUGGAACUGAGACACGGUCCAGACUCCUACGGGAGGCAGCAGUAGGGAAUCUUCCGCAAUGGGCGAAAGCUUGACGGAGCAACGCCGCGUGAGUGAUGAAGGUCUUCGGAUCGUAAAACUCUGUUAUUAGGGAAGAACAAAUGUGUAAGUAACUAUGCACGUCUUGACGGUACCUAAUCAGAAAGCCACGGCUAACUACGUG